Neodiprion fabricii is the source of this 314-nucleotide long non-coding RNA. RefSeq lists it as uncharacterized. Lineage: Eukaryota; Metazoa; Arthropoda; Insecta; Hymenoptera; Diprionidae. The record is from RefSeq and is a predicted model, not a curated record. The transcript is spliced from 4 exons.
GCACUAAUCCUUGAACCGAUAUUAUUGGACACGAUGAAUGGUUCGCGCUUCGUAGAGGCUAAAGCGUCCACGGUACCUAAUCGACAAUUCGCCGGAGACUCAGACAUUGGCGGGUUUGGUCUUACCAGUUUCGUUAUGCGUUGGCCUUCUAUCAGUCGUCCUCAAUUCUGCUCAUCGUUAUGUCGAAAGUUGGUUUCUUGAACAGACCAAAGAAGGCCAUGAUCGCUUCGGUACAAAAAAUGACGUUGAAGUUGAAGGAGGACGACGGCUACAAAGAACUUAAUCUCCACGAGUAAUCGAAUAAAAUAUGUAGA